Molecule: small RNA, 77 nt
Filed under: Salmonella enterica
Lineage: Bacteria; Pseudomonadati; Pseudomonadota; Gammaproteobacteria; Enterobacterales; Enterobacteriaceae
Also listed under: 1 other name
Description: partial RtT sRNA
Rfam family: RtT RNA
About the family: This family represents a bacterial cis-regulatory element known as RtT RNA. The exact function of RtT is unknown although it is thought that it may be involved in changing the cellular response in relation to amino acid starvation.
Source: RNAcentral
AGAACGUGAAGGAUAAUGUUGCUUUAGCAACGGCCCGAAGGGCGAGGCAAAGCCGAGUCAUCCUGCACGACCCACCA